GAUGAACGCUGGCGGCGUGCCUAAUACAUGCAAGUCGAGCGAACAGACGAGGAGCUUGCUCCUCUGACGUUAGCGGCGGACGGGUGAGUAACACGUGGAUAACCUACCUAUAAGACUGGGAUAACUUCGGGAAACCGGAGCUAAUACCGGAUGAUAUUUUGAACCGCAUGGUUCAAUAGUGAAAGACGGUUUUGCUGUCACUUAUAGAUGGAUCCGCGCCGCAUUAGCUAGUUGGUAAGGUAACGGCUUACCAAGGCAACGAUGCGUAGCCGACCUGAGAGGGUGAUCGGCCACACUGGAACUGAGACACGGUCCAGACUCCUACGGGAGGCAGCAGUAGGGAAUCUUCCGCAAUGGGCGAAAGCCUGACGGAGCAACGCCGCGUGAGUGAUGAAGGUCUUCGGAUCGUAAAACUCUGUUAUUAGGGAAGAACAAAUGUGUAAGUAACUGUGCACGUCUUGACGGUACCUAAUCAGAAAGCCACGGCUAACUACGUG
This 497-nucleotide ribosomal RNA is filed under the name uncultured bacterium. Its description in RNAcentral is "partial 16S ribosomal RNA". It matches the Rfam family "Bacterial small subunit ribosomal RNA", at positions 28 to 507 of the family's 1533-position model. The record is from RNAcentral.